CUUAAUAUCCAAUUAUUAUUGGGAUUCUUUUUCUAUGCAGAGAUAUAUCUAAAGGAACCGCUGAGGCUAGCCUCCCUGUUGUCAGGGGCGUGUAUCGUCUUCUUAUGUCUUAGGGAGCGCGCUAUGCGGGAAUUUUGCAUUUCAUUUUUCAUGUAUUUUUUUUAGUUACUUAAUAGCUAUCGCUGUUUCACCUACAGACACACCAACAAUUUGUGGAAUUCCCUCUAGAAUAUUUAGAUUUUUGCUGAUUCAUGUGUGGUUCCUGCUUAUUUUUA
Molecule: long non-coding RNA, 275 nt
Filed under: Panicum hallii
Lineage: Eukaryota; Viridiplantae; Streptophyta; Magnoliopsida; Poales; Poaceae
Description: long non-coding RNA (PHAL_LNC000557)
Source: RNAcentral